CCAUAGCUCAACGGAUAGAGCAUCUGACUUCGGAUCAGAAGGUUUGGGGUUCGAAUCCCUAU
Molecule: transfer RNA, 62 nt
Filed under: fish gut metagenome
Rfam family: tRNA
About the family: Transfer RNA (tRNA) molecules are approximately 80 nucleotides in length. Their secondary structure includes four short double-helical elements and three loops (D, anti-codon, and T loops).
Source: RNAcentral